AUGCCCUCAGCAGGGCUGAGCCGUUUGCGGGAGGGCGUGCUGAUUUCUUGGUGGGAAUCCAGGGAACGAUCUCAUCCUAGGAAGGAAGCCAGAAAUCACCAUCUCCACCAGGCAAAUCGCGGUGUCGGCUGCACGGACGGCCCCGUGCUCUCCGCAGAUGGUCUCUGGUCCCUCUCCACCCCUCGGUCCCACCUCCGCAUUCUCCAGCUUCGAUCCCUUGGCAGGAGCACCCAUGGCUGCUGUCACCUCUGUGACUUGCCGAGCUGCUGUCAGAGCCACUGCACCACCAAGCACCACCUGGACAUCCGGCUGCUUGGCCAGAGAAACAGAAAAACAGACCAGUGGUUGAGCAGCCAAGCAAACGCCAAAGAGCCUUGCUGGCCCCGGCCCACCUGCCUGCCUCGCAGCGCAUUUGGCUUGUUCCCUUUGCCCCCCCAUGCAGCCUUUCUUGCUCCUCUCAGUGUUCGUCCUGCUAGAGAGAUCGUGUCUUCGUUCUUCUGCACGCUCGUCACCUUCUCUUUCUCCCCACCAGUCUGUGUCUCCGUCUGGUUCUUCCUUGCAGACCAUGUCCCGUAUUCCCUUUUUCCUCCCCAUUUCAGUGCCUCGUGCCCCAGCCACCCAUUUACUACACCUCACCUAAUCGUUUCACUCCAUGUCUUUGCUGCUGACAGCCAUACCCCUCACCAGGAUCCCCUUCCCCUUCCAGUCCCACCCCCGACACCCUCCUGCCUGCUCCCAGCUGCACCCCUGCCCACCUCCACCCCCAGCCCCACAGCAGCGCCUACCUCUCAGGAGCCUUUCCAGGCCCACGUCGUUCAACCCUCCUAUCUCCGGGCACCGCAGGGAAGCGUGGAGCCACCAGAAAAGCUUUUCCCUCCCGAGAGAGAUCAGCCUGCCCCGGGUCCCCUUCCCAGGACUGCAUUACCAGCCGGAGGGGUGCGGUACUCGAGACGGGUGCCUCCCUCGGGUGGGAGGAAUUGGGGCCCCCGAGCAACGGGGCUGGAAAGUCCUGGGGACCUCCCACUCUCCCCGGAGAGCCCAGCGCAUCCUCUGCCGAGCACGACGCGGCUCGCUCUCUGUUUCUGUUUCCAUCCUUUGCAACACCUUUGUUCACGGCAGAGUUCAAACUGCUGA
Molecule: long non-coding RNA, 1134 nt
Filed under: Anser cygnoides (Swan goose)
Lineage: Eukaryota; Metazoa; Chordata; Aves; Anseriformes; Anatidae
Description: lncRNA (ENSACDG00005000672.1)
Source: RNAcentral